RNAcentral lists this ribosomal RNA (452 nucleotides) under fungal endophyte sp. DM173. RNAcentral's name for it is "eukaryotic LSU rRNA". It matches the Rfam family "Eukaryotic large subunit ribosomal RNA", at positions 147 to 606 of the family's 3401-position model. The record is from RNAcentral. Lineage: Eukaryota; Fungi.
AAUUUGCAGAGGAUGCUUCUGGCGCGGUGCCUUCCGAGUUCCCUGGAACGGGACGCCACAGAGGGUGAGAGCCCCGUAUGGUCGGACACCAAGCCUGUGUGAAGCUCCUUCGACGAGUCGAGUAGUUUGGGAAUGCUGCUCUAAAUGGGAGGUAAAUCUCUUCUAAAGCUAAAUACCGGCCAGAGACCGAUAGCGCACAAGUAGAGUGAUCGAAAGAUGAAAAGCACCUUGAAAAGGGGGUUAAAUAGUACGUGAAAUUGUUGAAAGGGAAGCACUUAUGACCAGACUUGGGCCGGGCGGCUCAUCAGGGGUUCUCCCCUGUGCACUCCGCCCGGCACAGGCCAGCAUCGGUUCUCGUGGGGGGAUAAGACCGUCAGGAACGUAGCACCCUCCGGGGUGUGUUAUAGCCUGGCGGACGAUACCCCCGUGGGGACCGAGGUCCGCGCUCCGCA